AAACCCCUGUAUCUAUAUGGGGUUGAAGGCGUGGAAUCAAGCAAAAGUGAGCACGCGUGUUGGCGGUCUACGUAUGAUGCCACGGGUGCUAACAGUGUACUUCGCCAUACUGUGAAGAGGAAUUGGAAUGACCCGGCCCCUGAUCAUCUGAAGCGCAAUGAGGCGAAUGUCUAUCUUAAAGUGACAAGCAGCGGAAGCUCUAUAAUGCUUAAUGUAGAAGUUGAAGGAACACCUAUACUUAAAACAGUGAUUGAGGGUAACUACCGUAUUUACUACGCAGGCGAGAACUGUGCAGUAAUAAGUUCAACAAAAGGAAACGGUAAAUGUACAAUAUGGGUACAGGAGGGUGCAACAAGUUUGCCGCACACAGAUUGCAAAGAGGCUUUUAUUAAAAAUUGCGAAACCUGUACAACAAAUGAACAAGCCACGGUAAAUUGAUAGUUUGGUCACCCUUGCACCUGAAAUAAAACA
Molecule: long non-coding RNA, 471 nt
Organism: Dermacentor silvarum
Lineage: Eukaryota; Metazoa; Arthropoda; Arachnida; Ixodida; Ixodidae
Exons: 5
Source: RefSeq, a predicted model, not a curated record